GACGAACGCUGGCGGCGUGCUUAACACAUGCAAGUCGAACGGACAGGCCCUGCUUUUGUGGGGUGCUCGAGUGGCGAACGGGUGAGUAACACGUGAGUAACCUGCCCUUGACUUUGGGAUAACUUCAGGAAACUGGGGCUAAUACCGGAUAGGAGCUCCUGCUGCAUGGUGGGGGUUGGAAAGUUUCGGCGGUUGGGGCUGGACUCGCGGCUUAUCAGCUUGUUGGUGGGGUAGUGGCUUACCAAGGCUUUGACGGGUAGCCGGCCUGGGAGGGUGACCGGCGACAUUGGGACUGAGAUACGGCCCAGUCUCCUACGGGAGGCAGCAGGGGGGAAUAUGGCGGAAUGGGCGGACGCCUGAUGCAGCAACGCCGCGUGCGGGAUGACGGCCUUCGGGUGGUAAACCGCUUUCGCCUGUGACGAAGCGGGAGUGACGGUAAUGGGUAAAGAAGCAACGGCUAACUACGUG
This 468-nucleotide ribosomal RNA is filed under the name uncultured bacterium. Its description in RNAcentral is "partial 16S ribosomal RNA". It matches the Rfam family "Bacterial small subunit ribosomal RNA", at positions 28 to 507 of the family's 1533-position model. The record is from RNAcentral.